GUUGAUUUGGCAUAGUGGUUUGCAUGUUAGACUGUGACUCUGGAAACCAGGGUUCGAUUCCCCGCUUGGCCA
This is a non-coding RNA of Phrynosoma platyrhinos (Desert horned lizard), 72 nucleotides long. NCBI's taxonomy places the organism in Eukaryota, Metazoa, Chordata, Lepidosauria, Squamata, Phrynosomatidae. The record is from the annotation of a GenBank genome assembly.